GAAAUAAACCUGAUGGGUUGUUGCUGGUUCUCCAGGGAGCAUUGUGCACACCUCUCAUCUUUAUAUCUCCCCCUGUGCACCUUUUGUAGACCCCACUGGGGUCUAUGUUGCUUCAUUUACCCCAAUGUAUGUUAAUAGGAUGUAUGUGCCUAUGAAAUCUAUACAACUUUCAGCAACGGAUCUCUUGGCUCU
Molecule: unclassified non-coding RNA, 192 nt
Filed under: rhizosphere metagenome
Description: partial ribosomal RNA internal transcribed spacer region
Source: RNAcentral